Molecule: long non-coding RNA, 1097 nt
Organism: Rosa rugosa (rugosa rose)
Lineage: Eukaryota; Viridiplantae; Streptophyta; Magnoliopsida; Rosales; Rosaceae
Exons: 4
Source: RefSeq, a predicted model, not a curated record
GUUGGGAGUUGUCUCGACUUGAGAUUUAUAAUCCAAACAAGCUAUUAAAGGAAGGAAAGCUCUGGGCUCUCUCCGACUCCACAAUCGAAACCCUAAGAAGCCGAGGAUGGUGCUUCGGAGGCGACUUUGAGAAACUCUAAACGAUGAUCCUGAUCCCCUGGGCAUUCGCCGAUGAAACCCGCACGGUGGUGAAGUCAAUGAAAUAGGAGCUCCUCAACAUGGAUCUCAAAUCCGUCGGAGCCAAGUCGUUACCCAACCCAGCCACUCUUCGCAAGUCAUCUCAUCUUCUCAGUCCCAAAGUCCUUCAGGCAAAUACACCUUCAUCUGAAUUUUUUUACUUAUGCCUUUCAGCAUAAAUGUUUUGCUUAGAAAUUUAUGAUUUUUUGUUAGUUUUGAUAAGAUAACUUGGGUUACAGACAUUAUGGGUAGCAAUUAAUGUUGACGAUUUUGCGAGAAAUUCUAGUCGGCGGCUUUUGAAACUUGGUCAAAGUGAUGGACAUGGUGAGGUUCCAGCUAUAGAGUACUCGCAUAUCCCUUCGUUCUCGGACGACGUCAUUUCGGGCACUAAGGUAAAGUAAACUGUGGGCAUAUAUCAAGUACAAAGCAUGCUGAGUUUGUCUGAGAUUCUGAAAAGUACAAAGCAUUGGGGAGCAGAAGAUGAUUCGAGAAGCCAAUGGCGACCCCAACAAGGCUAACAAGCCGUUCAUGCGCUCCUCAUCGAGCAACCCCAAUAAAUAUUGAUUUCUUCACAGAGUUCAUCAGUUGCUUCUUCUACGACGUCGUUUGGGAGCUCGAAGAAGAUGGUGUGGGUUUGGACGGAGAGCAAGCAGGUCAUGACGACCGCCGUGGAGAGAGGCUGGAACACCUUCCUGUUUCAGAGUCAGAAACUCGCCGAUGACUGGUCUUGCAGGUGAGCUUAUGAAAUUUGAGUACCAAAAGAAGGUCGCCUCGCUGAGCAAGCUAAAGAAAUGUAGUACUAACUCAGAAGCAUUGGAGAAAUCAAGAGCAGCAGUGAGUCAUCUGCAUAUAAGAUACAUAGUUGACAUGCAAUCCAUGGACCCAACAGUAUCAAAGAUAAACUCUUUUACUUUCAGCCU